This 292-nucleotide ribosomal RNA is filed under the name uncultured bacterium. RNAcentral's name for it is "partial 16S ribosomal RNA". It matches the Rfam family "Bacterial small subunit ribosomal RNA", at positions 505 to 796 of the family's 1533-position model. The record is from RNAcentral.
GUGUCAGCAGCCGCGGUAAUACAGAGGGUGCGAACGUUGUUCGGAAUUACUGGGCUUGAAGCGCGCGUAGGCGGCCCCGCAAGUGCGGUGUGAAAUCCCACGGCUUACCCGUGGAACCGCGCCGUGUACUACGGGGCUAGAGGAUGGUAGAGGAGGGCGGAACUCUUGGUGGAGCGGUGAAAUGCGUAGAGAUCAAGAGGAACACCGGUGGCGAAGGCGGCCCUCUGGUCCAUUACUGACGCUGAGGCGCGAAAGCUAGGGGAGCAAACGGGAUUAGAUACCCUUGUAGUCC